CGAACACAACUCUAAAAUGUUGUACCAAUAGCAUUAAACAUUGUACUACACCAUUUGAGCCAUAUUCCCUAGAAAAUAAACACCUGUACUACACGUGUCUACCUCCUCUAAUUUUCAAUAAUUUUUCUUUGGUUCUUUUUCUACUUUUUCUAUUUUUCAUUUUCCUCAUUCUCACUCUUGGCGGAGAAGGAGAAGAAGAGAUUUAGAAAUGGAGGUAUUACAUUUUUGGAGAGGAAGAGCUUGAUGGAAAAAUCAGAGGAGCGUGAUUCGAGUGCGAGCUGAUGCAUCAAUUUGGUGAUGAAAUUUCAUAUUUGACUAGGGAAAUUCAAGAAUUCACUUUGCCUUAAUUUCAUCGCCAUGGCUGUGGAGCUUUCUUUUGGAGUUCACCGACAUCUCUUGUGUUUACAACCUUCUUUUUUCUCAACCGUACAAAGGCAUUUUACAGUGGUUGUUAAAGAGUAAAAAGGAUUUUUAUGCUGAUUUUGAGUGUUUUUGACCGCCUCAAUUUGUUAACUUACAGGAAUUCUUUAACCACUUGAUAUUACCGGUAUGCUACCAUCAAAACAAAUUAUGCGUGACAACAUGUGGAGGAUAUUAAGCUCUUAUGUACUCAAUGUACCUAUCAGAAAGAAAAUAUCACACAUUUUGACAAAGGAAGAGAAUCAGUUAGAGAAUGCAUUGUCUUAUUUGUCAUUGUUUAGGAGAAUACAUAACAAGAAUGGUACUCUACUUUUAGGAAAAUUUUGCUGGAUAGAUUUAAAAAAUUCUACCUAAAAUAAGAAAAUGAAGGAACUGAUUGCUUCCAUAUGUGGAAGGCAGUGUUCAUUAACAUUCUUACAUAUUUGUAAUUUUUUUGCACUUAUAAUGGCUUGGCUUCUUCAAUUACUUGUCAAAUAUGUGUU
Long non-coding RNA from Solanum stenotomum, 902 nucleotides. RefSeq lists it as uncharacterized. NCBI's taxonomy places the organism in Eukaryota, Viridiplantae, Streptophyta, Magnoliopsida, Solanales, Solanaceae. The record is from RefSeq and is a predicted model, not a curated record. The transcript has 5 exons.